This 254-nucleotide ribosomal RNA is filed under the name uncultured bacterium. RNAcentral describes it as "partial 16S ribosomal RNA". It matches the Rfam family "Bacterial small subunit ribosomal RNA", at positions 524 to 777 of the family's 1533-position model. The record is from RNAcentral.
UACAGAGGGGGCAAGCGUUAUUCGGAAUUAUUGGGCGUAAAGGGCGCGUAGGCGGCCUGACAAGUGGAAGGUGAAAUCCCUCGGCUUAACCGAGGAACUGCCCUCCAAACUGUUUGGCUUGAGACCGGGAGAGGUGAGUGGAAUUCCCAGUGUAGCGGUGAAAUGCGUAGAUAUUCGGAAGAACACCAGUGGCGAAGGCGGCUCACUGGACUGGUAUUGACGCUGAGGCGCGAAAGCGUGGGGAGCAAACAGGG